Molecule: non-coding RNA, 237 nt
Filed under: Adlercreutzia caecimuris B7
Lineage: Bacteria; Bacillati; Actinomycetota; Coriobacteriia; Eggerthellales; Eggerthellaceae
Description: Enterorhabdus caecimuris B7 raiA RNA
Rfam family: raiA RNA
Source: Rfam by way of RNAcentral
UUCUUUCGGGUCUGUAGUUGCGGAAGCCCAAGGCUUCCAAGUCCAUGGCAGAUGCGGUCGAAAGGAUCCACGUAAGCGGCUGGCAUGCCAGACGUGAGCAUGGCGUAUCCUAGAGGUAAGACGCACCGUCCGCACCCAUUUCGCAGAUCAGACUCUGCGACGGACGAGAGGGCGUGUAGCGCAAGCGAAAACCCCGGUGCGCGAGUGUGGGGUCAAAGACUAGGUCAGUCGAAAGAG